This 447-nucleotide ribosomal RNA is filed under the name uncultured bacterium. RNAcentral describes it as "partial 16S ribosomal RNA". It matches the Rfam family "Bacterial small subunit ribosomal RNA", at positions 29 to 523 of the family's 1533-position model. The record is from RNAcentral.
AACGAACGCUGGCGGCAGGCUUAACACAUGCAAGUCGAACGCCCCGCAAGGGGAGUGGCAGACGGGUGAGUAACGCGUGGGAAUCUACCCAUCUCUGCGGAAUAGCUCCGGGAAACUGGAAUUAAUACCGCAUACGCCCUACGGGGGAAAGAUUUAUCGGGGAUGGAUGAGCCCGCGUUGGAUUAGCUAGUUGGUGGGGUAAAGGCCUACCAAGGCGACGAUCCAUAGCUGGUCUGAGAGGAUGAUCAGCCACAUUGGGACUGAGACACGGCCCAAACUCCUACGGGAGGCAGCAGUGGGGAAUAUUGGACAAUGGGCGCAAGCCUGAUCCAGCCAUGCCGCGUGAGUGAUGAAGGCCUUAGGGUUGUAAAGCUCUUUCACCGGUGAAGAUAAUGACGGUAACCGGAGAAGAAGCCCCGGCUAACUUCGUGCCAGCAGCCGCCGCGG